RNAcentral lists this ribosomal RNA (1574 nucleotides) under Salmonella enterica. RNAcentral's name for it is "bacterial LSU rRNA". It matches the Rfam family "Bacterial large subunit ribosomal RNA", at positions 1253 to 2812 of the family's 2925-position model. Lineage: Bacteria; Pseudomonadati; Pseudomonadota; Gammaproteobacteria; Enterobacterales; Enterobacteriaceae. The record is from RNAcentral.
AAGGUGGCCUGUGAGGGUUGCUGGAGGUAUCAGAAGUGCGAAUGCUGACAUAAGUAACGAUAAAGCGGGUGAAAAGCCCGCUCGCCGGAAGACCAAGGGUUCCUGUCCAACGUUAAUCGGGGCAGGGUGAGUCGACCCCUAAGGCGAGGCCGAAAGGCGUAGUCGAUGGGAAACGGGUUAAUAUUCCCGUACUUGGUGUUACUGCGAAGGGGGGACGGAGAAGGCUAUGUUGGCCGGGCGACGGUUGUCCCGGUUUAAGCGUGUAGGCUGGUUUUCCAGGCAAAUCCGGAAAAUCAAGGCUGAGGCGUGAUGACGAGGCACUACGGUGCUGAAGCAACAAAUGCCCUGCUUCCAGGAAAAGCCUCUAAGCAUCAGGUAACAUCAAAUCGUACCCCAAACCGACACAGGUGGUCAGGUAGAGAAUACCAAGGCGCUUGAGAGAACUCGGGUGAAGGAACUAGGCAAAAUGGUGCCGUAACUUCGGGAGAAGGCACGCUGACACGUAGGUGAAGUGAUUUACUCAUGGAGCUGAAGUCAGUCGAAGAUACCAGCUGGCUGCAACUGUUUAUUAAAAACACAGCACUGUGCAAACACGAAAGUGGACGUAUACGGUGUGACGCCUGCCCGGUGCCGGAAGGUUAAUUGAUGGGGUCAGCGCAAGCGAAGCUCCUGAUCGAAGCCCCGGUAAACGGCGGCCGUAACUAUAACGGUCCUAAGGUAGCGAAAUUCCUUGUCGGGUAAGUUCCGACCUGCACGAAUGGCGUAAUGAUGGCCAGGCUGUCUCCACCCGAGACUCAGUGAAAUUGAACUCGCUGUGAAGAUGCAGUGUACCCGCGGCAAGACGGAAAGACCCCGUGAACCUUUACUAUAGCUUGACACUGAACAUUGAGCCUUGAUGUGUAGGAUAGGUGGGAGGCUUUGAAGUGUGGACGCCAGUCUGCAUGGAGCCGACCUUGAAAUACCACCCUUUAAUGUUUGAUGUUCUAACGUGGACCCGUAAUCCGGGUUGCGGACAGUGUCUGGUGGGUAGUUUGACUGGGGCGGUCUCCUCCUAAAGAGUAACGGAGGAGCACGAAGGUUGGCUAAUCCUGGUCGGACAUCAGGAGGUUAGUGCAAUGGCAUAAGCCAGCUUGACUGCGAGCGUGACGGCGCGAGCAGGUGCGAAAGCAGGUCAUAGUGAUCCGGUGGUUCUGAAUGGAAGGGCCAUCGCUCAACGGAUAAAAGGUACUCCGGGGAUAACAGGCUGAUACCGCCCAAGAGUUCAUAUCGACGGCGGUGUUUGGCACCUCGAUGUCGGCUCAUCACAUCCUGGGGCUGAAGUAGGUCCCAAGGGUAUGGCUGUUCGCCAUUUAAAGUGGUACGCGAGCUGGGUUUAGAACGUCGUGAGACAGUUCGGUCCCUAUCUGCCGUGGGCGCUGGAGAACUGAGGGGGGCUGCUCCUAGUACGAGAGGACCGGAGUGGACGCAUCACUGGUGUUCGGGUUGUCAUGCCAAUGGCACUGCCCGGUAGCUAAAUGCGGAAGAGAUAAGUGCUGAAAGCAUCUAAGCACGAAACUUGCCCCGAGAUGAGUUCU